UAGGGAAUCUUCCGCAAUGGACGCAAGUCUGACGGAGCAACGCUGCGUGAGUGAAGAAGGAUUUCGGUUCGUAAAACUCUGUUGUUAGAGAAGAACAGCGCAUAGAGUAACUGUUAUGCGUGUGACGGUAUCUAACCAGAAAGCCACGGCUAACUACGUGCCAGCAGCCGCGGUAAUACGUAGGUGGCAAGCGUUGUCCGGAUUUAUUGGGCGUAAAGCGAGCGCAGGCGGUCAAUUAAGUCUGAUGUGAAAGCCCCCGGCUCAACCGGGGAGGGUCAUUGGAAACUGGUUGACUUGAGUGCAGAAGAGGAGAGUGGAAUUCCAUGUGUAGCGGUGAAAUGCGUAGAUAUAUGGAGGAACACCAGUGGCGAAGGCGACUCUCUGGUCUGUAACUGACGCUGAGGCUCGAAAGCGUGGGUAGCAAACAGG
This 429-nucleotide ribosomal RNA is filed under the name Bacteroidota bacterium. RNAcentral's name for it is "Bacteroidetes bacterium partial 16S ribosomal RNA". It matches the Rfam family "Bacterial small subunit ribosomal RNA", at positions 355 to 776 of the family's 1533-position model. Lineage: Bacteria; Pseudomonadati; Bacteroidota. The record is from RNAcentral.